RNAcentral lists this ribosomal RNA (796 nucleotides) under Pseudanteris insignis. Its description in RNAcentral is "partial 28S ribosomal RNA". It matches the Rfam family "Eukaryotic large subunit ribosomal RNA", at positions 393 to 936 of the family's 3401-position model. The record is from RNAcentral. Lineage: Eukaryota; Metazoa; Arthropoda; Insecta; Hymenoptera; Scelionidae.
CAGUACGUGAAACCGUUUAGGGGUAAACCUGAGAAACCCGAAAGAUCGAAUAAGGAGAUUCAACGUUAGCGAGAUUUGCUGACUCGUAGUUUGCGAUGAUUAAGGCUUGUACUUUUAGUGCUAGUCGAAGUCACGCGGCUUCGAGUUACGCGGAUUACGUUGGCGUGCACUUCUCCUUUAGUAGGACGUCGCGACCCGCUGAGAGUCGAUCUAAGGACCGAGAUCGUCGACUGUUUCGUUGAAUUUAUUCAACGUAGCAGACGCUCGGUAUCCCGACCGUCUACUCGGCGGUAAAGAAAAGAUAUUGAGCCGCAAUCGAAUGCGUUCAGACUCGUAGCAAGCUUGAUAAUUUUAUUCAGAGUGCGGACCUGGUCCGUCCUGGUGAAUUGUCGGCUGUUGGCUAACGAUGUUCUCGAACCGGCUAAUAAUUAUAAAAAUAUCUGUCAGCGACGCUAUUGCUUUGGGUACUUUCAGGACCCGUCUUGAAACACGGACCAAGGAGUCUAACAUGUACGCGAGUCAUUGGGACGAUGAAACUCAAAGGCGUAUUGAAAGAAAAGAUCGACUUUAUGUCGAAUGAGGGAAGAUGGGCCGUUGUACGCAGCGGCCUCGCAUUCCCGGGGCGUUUCAUUGUCAUUGCGACAAGAGGCGCACCCAGAGCGUACACGUUGGGACCCGAAAGAUGGUGAACUAUGCCUGGUCAGGAUGAAGUCAGGGGAAACUCUGAUGGAGGUCCGUAGCGAUUCUGACGUGCAAAUCGAUCGUCGGAACUGGGUAUAGGGGCGAAAGACUAAUC